AUUGAACGCUGGCGGCAGGCCUAACACAUGCAAGUCGAGCGGAUGAAGGGAGCUUGCUCCUGGAUUCAGCGGCGGACGGGUGAGUAAUGCCUAGGAAUCUGCCUGGUAGUGGGGGAUAACGUCCGGAAACGGGCGCUAAUCCAGCAUCGGCCCUGAGGGUGAAAGGGGGGGUUCUUCGGACCUAACCCUUCUUGAUGACCCUAGGUCGGAUUAGCUAGUUGGUGGGGUAAAGGCCUACCAAGGCGACGAUCCGUAACUGGUCUGAGAGGAUGAUCAGUCACACUGGAACUGAGACACGGUCCAGACUCCUACGGGAGGCAGCAGUGGGGAAUAUUGGACAAUGGGCGAAAGCCUGAUCCAGCCAUGCCGCGUGUGUGAAGAAGGUCUUCGGAUUGUAAAGCACUUUAAGUUGGGAGGAAGGGCAGUAAGUUAAUACCUUGCUGUUUUGACGUUACCAACAGAAUAAGCACCGGCUAACUUCGUG
This 484-nucleotide ribosomal RNA is filed under the name uncultured bacterium. Its description in RNAcentral is "partial 16S ribosomal RNA". It matches the Rfam family "Bacterial small subunit ribosomal RNA", at positions 30 to 507 of the family's 1533-position model. The record is from RNAcentral.